AGGGUAGCGUAGGUGGCCUGAUAAGUCAGGGGUGAAAGACGGUAGCUUAACUAUCGCAGUGCCCUUGAUACUGCCGGGCUUGAAUGAACUAGAGGUAGGCGGAAGUGUGACAAGUAGCGGUGAAAUGCAUAGAUAUGUCACAGAACACCAAUUGCGAAGGCAGCUUACUAUGGUUAGAUUGACACUGAGGCACGAAAGCGUGGGGAUCAAACAGGAUUAGAUACCCCUGU
Molecule: ribosomal RNA, 230 nt
Filed under: uncultured bacterium
Lineage: Bacteria
Description: partial 16S ribosomal RNA
Rfam family: Bacterial small subunit ribosomal RNA
Source: RNAcentral